This 467-nucleotide ribosomal RNA is filed under the name uncultured bacterium. RNAcentral describes it as "partial 16S ribosomal RNA". It matches the Rfam family "Bacterial small subunit ribosomal RNA", at positions 28 to 506 of the family's 1533-position model. The record is from RNAcentral.
GACGAACGCUGGCGGCGUGCUUAACACAUGCAUGUCGAACGGAAAGGCCCUGCUUUUGUGGGGUGCUCGAGUGGCGAACGGGUGAGUAACACGUGAGUAACCUGCCCUUGACUUUGGGAUAACUUCAGGAAACUGGGGCUAAUACCGGAUAGGAGCUCCUGCUGCAUGGUGGGGGUUGGAAAGUUUCGGCGGUUGGGGAUGGACUCGCGGCUUAUCAGCUUGUUGGUGGGGUAGUGGCUUACCAAGGCUUUGACGGGUAGCCGGCCUGAGAGGGUGACCGGCCACAUUGGGACUGAGAUACGGCCCAGACUCCUACGGGAGGCAGCAGUGGGGAAUAUUGCACAAUGGGCGGAAGCCUGAUGCAGCAACGCCGCGUGCGGGAUGACGGCCUUCGGGUUGUAAACCGCUUUCGCCUGUGACGAAGCGUGAGUGACGGUAAUGGGUAAAGAAGCACCGGCUAACUACGU